AUUGAACGCUGGCGGCAUGCCUUACACAUGCAAGUCGAACGGUAACGCGGGGCAACCUGGCGACGAGUGGCGAACGGGUGAGUAAUGCAUCGGAACGUGCCCAGUAGUGGGGGAUAGCCCGGCGAAAGCCGGAUUAAUACCGCAUACGACCUAUGGGUGAAAGCGGGGGAUCGUAAGACCUCGCGCUAUUGGAGCGGCCGAUGUCAGAUUAGGUUGUUGGUGGGGUAAAGGCCUACCAAGCCUGCGAUCUGUAGCUGGUCUGAGAGGACGACCAGCCACACUGGGACUGAGAUACGGCCCAGACUCUUACGGGAGGCAGCAGUGGGGGAAUUUUGGACAAUGGGCGAAAGCCUGAUCCAGCCAUGCCGCGUGCGGGAAGAAGGCCUCGGUU
RNAcentral lists this ribosomal RNA (391 nucleotides) under uncultured bacterium. Its description in RNAcentral is "bacterial SSU rRNA". It matches the Rfam family "Bacterial small subunit ribosomal RNA", at positions 29 to 424 of the family's 1533-position model. The record is from RNAcentral.